Long non-coding RNA from Rosa rugosa (rugosa rose), 650 nucleotides. RefSeq lists it as uncharacterized. NCBI's taxonomy places the organism in Eukaryota, Viridiplantae, Streptophyta, Magnoliopsida, Rosales, Rosaceae. The record is from RefSeq and is a predicted model, not a curated record. The transcript has 3 exons.
UCUUCCAACUCUUCCAUUCGCUUCUGCUCCCUCAUCUCUACCGCUCUCCUUCAUAGACGUCGAUCGAAACCCCGGGCUAGUUAUCGGAGUAAGUAGAGAAGGAAGGAAAACCCGAGAAAAAUGAUUAGUACUGGUUCAGAAUCUGAGAAGGAAGACGGGAAGAGAGAGACACAGGGCGGCGGACUGACGUCAUUUUGAUUUUCUGACGCAGACGUCUCUUCUAUCAAGCAAGGCUCUCAACUGAAACCGCAUCACCUAGCCUCUCAUCAAGAUUCCGGGUUAGAAAUCGAAGCCUCAAUCAAGCAAGGCUGCUUGGAAUUUGAUUCGGUGCUGAUGCUGAAGUGAAGGAGUUGUGACAUUCAAUUGAUGUUCUAAAGGCUGAAAGUGAACAUUUUAUCCGCAGUGAAGAAAGAGAAGAUGAUGGGUCAAGUGGUGGAAUAGAGAUUGAUGAUGAUGUAAAAGAAGAAUAUCAUGGUCAUGGUGCACAAGAAAGGGAAACAAUAAGAAAAAACAUUACUCUAAGUUUGAUGAGUGCACGUAAUAAUGUGAACAUUUGAAUAUGUUAUGAUAUUUUUUGUGGUUACUUGAUGUGAACCAGAAAUCAAUUGUUAUUAAUGUUACUAAUAUAUUUGUAUAAGUUACUUUUAAAA